GAUGAACGCUAGCGGCAGGCCUAAUACAUGCAAGUCAAGGGGCCAGCAAUGGCACCGGCGCACGGGUGCGUAACACGUACACAACAUACCUUUAAGUGGGAGAUAGCAUCGGGAAACUGGUGGUAAUACCCCAUAAUAUUGCGAUGCGGCAUCACAUUGCAAUUAAAAGUUUCGACGCUUAAAGAAUUGGUGUGCGUCCGAUUAGCUAGUUGGCGGGGUAACGGCCCACCAAGGCUACGAUCGGUAGGGGGUGGUGAGAGCAUGACCCCCACCAUGGGUACUGAGACACGGACCCAACUCCUAC
This 304-nucleotide ribosomal RNA is filed under the name uncultured bacterium. Its description in RNAcentral is "bacterial SSU rRNA". It matches the Rfam family "Bacterial small subunit ribosomal RNA", at positions 28 to 342 of the family's 1533-position model. The record is from RNAcentral.